Molecule: long non-coding RNA, 1398 nt
Organism: Alligator mississippiensis (American alligator)
Lineage: Eukaryota; Metazoa; Chordata; Crocodylia; Alligatoridae
Exons: 2
Source: RefSeq, a predicted model, not a curated record
GCUGCUGAAGGUGAACCCGGAGGCUUUGCAGGAGAGGCGCAGACAGUCUCCAGGCUUCCUCACAUCCCCUCCCGACUCCAGCAGCUGCACCUGGGACUGGGCACCUGGGGAGAAAAAAGCAUGUUUCAGGAUCCUGUCUCUGCCAGCCUCUGCCAACGGCCACGGAGCCAGGGGGCCACUCACUGCAGAUUUUCCAUUGCCUUUGAAUCAGGCCAUUCAUCUACAGGUACAGCAGGCCGCUGGAGUCAUCCCUGGAGAUGGUGACCCACCCUUUCACCAUGUCGCUGUAGUUGGUGGCAUGGUUGUUGGCAGCUUUGCGUGUCUCUGCCACCCACUGCAGCCCCGUGGCUGGGGAGAGCCAGAACCGCUCCAUCUACUAGGCAAUGAAGUUGAUCCCAGAGGUUUGGCAGGUGAGGGAGGCAGAGAGAUCCUGUGGGCACCUGAACUCCCCCUCCGGACUCCACCACCUGGACCUGCAAAUGGGUACCUGUGGGGAAAGGACAUUCAAAGGACCACGUUCCCUCAGGCCCUGCAUGACAGCUGAUGAAACCACUGGAAACCUAUCCUGUCCUGGGUUUCUCUGGGCACCAGGGUAAGAACCAGCAGUGCUCUCGGCUAUCUCCCAACUCUGCCUGGACAUGGGUAGGGGAAGAGUUACCAUGGAGGGCAUUGAGGAGGCACAGGAUGCUCCCCCAGGGUAGCAUGGUGCUGCUCUGCCAGCGAUUGCUGAUGGGGAGAACCCUGGCAAGCCCCAGGCCUUCAUGGGUCUGUUUUGUAAAACCCUUUAUUCCUCUCACUGCUUUCUGGAGAUCUGACCCUUCUGCCUCUCCUUAUUUGCAGAGCCUUGUUGACUCACUGCAUGAGUUGGCCCUCGAGUUUUUCCGUAGGUCCAACCAGUCCCAAAUACCUAAAUAACAGCUUAGGAAAAUGACAAAUCGUUCUGACUUCAGGUAUUUGUGUUCUGUCGUGGGGAGCUUGUCUUUUCCUAGAUUGCAGGGGCCUUUGGUGACUGACAUUCAGGGGUCUUGGAGCAAAUGAGAAUUCAGGCUGUAGGACAUUCAUUCAUGGAUCAGGCGGGAGGCCCAUUUGGCCCACAGGUCUCUCUCUAUUUGAUGCUGGUUUCUAUCAGAGGUUCAGGGAAUGAUGCCAGGUAGUGGCAGCAUACUCACCAGCCCUAGGAUGUCGUGCCCAAGGGGAAAGGGCCUCCUGCCUUGGAGGUUAAGGCUGCCUUUAUCCCUUACAAUAAAGUAAAUGAAAGUAACUUAAUUUCACUUGUUGUUCACAGUACGUUGGGAAAAAGGCUUUUGUCAGUUCAGCCAACUCAGGCGAUGCUGAGACCUAAGAAUCAAUGUAUAAAAAAUAGAUUGACACCUAAUAAAUGAACUGUAGCACAAAGAA